ACCGACUAAUGUUGAAAAAUUAGCGGAUGACUUGUGGCUGGGGGUGAAAGGCCAAUCAAACCGGGAGAUAGCUGGUUCUCCCCGAAAGCUAUUUAGGUAGCGCCUCGUGAAUUCAUCUCCGGGGGUAGAGCACUGUUUCGGCAAGGGGGUCAUCCCGACUUACCAACCCGAUGCAAACUGCGAAUACCGGAGAAUGUUAUCACGGGAGACACACGGCGGGUGCUAACGUCCGUCGUGAAGAGGGAAACAACCCAGACCGCCAGCUAAGGUCCCAAAGUCAUGGUUAAGUGGGAAACGAUGUGGGAAGGCCCAGACAGCCAGGAUGUUGGCUUAGAAGCAGCCAUCAUUUAAAGAAAGCGUAAUAGCUCACUGGUCGAGUCGGCCUGCGCGGAAGAUGUAACGGGGCUAAACCAUGCACCGAAGCUGCGGCAGCGACGCUUAUGCGUUGUUGGGUAGGGGAGCGUUCUGUAAGCCUGUGAAGGUGUACUGUGAGGUAUGCUGGAGGUAUCAGAAGUGCGAAUGCUGACAUAAGUAACGAUAAAGCGGGUGAAAAGCCCGCUCGCCGGAAGACCAAGGGUUCCUGUCCAACGUUAAUCGGGGCAGGGUGAGUCGACCCCUAAGGCGAGGCCGAAAGGCGUAGUCGAUGGGAAACAGGUUAAUAUUCCUGUACUUGGUGUUACUGCGAAGGGGGGACGGAGAAGGCUAUGUUGGCCGGGCGACGGUUGUCCCGGUUUAAGCGUGUAGGCUGGUUUUCCAGGCAAAUCCGGAAAAUCAAGGCUGAGGCGUGAUGACGAGGCACUACGGUGCUGAAGCAACAAAUGCCCUGCUUCCAGGAAAAGCCUCUAAGCAUCAGGUAACAUCAAAUCGUACCCCAAACCGACACAGGUGGUCAGGUAGAGAAUACCAAGGCGCUUGAGAGAACUCGGGUGAAGGAACUAGGCAAAAUGGUGCCGUAACUUCGGGAGAAGGCACGCUGAUAUGUAGGUGAAGCGACUUGCUCGUGGAGCUGAAAUCAGUCGAAGAUACCAGCUGGCUGCAACUGUUUAUUAAAAACACAGCACUGUGCAAACACGAAAGUGGACGUAUACGGUGUGACGCCUGCCCGGUGCCGGAAGGUUAAUUGAUGGGGUUAGCGGUAACGCGAAGCUCUUGAUCGAAGCCCCGGUAAACGGCGGCCGUAACUAUAAC
RNAcentral lists this ribosomal RNA (1188 nucleotides) under Escherichia coli. Its description in RNAcentral is "partial 23S ribosomal RNA". It matches the Rfam family "Bacterial large subunit ribosomal RNA", at positions 778 to 1946 of the family's 2925-position model. The record is from RNAcentral. Lineage: Bacteria; Pseudomonadati; Pseudomonadota; Gammaproteobacteria; Enterobacterales; Enterobacteriaceae.